RNAcentral lists this ribosomal RNA (383 nucleotides) under uncultured bacterium. RNAcentral's name for it is "partial 16S ribosomal RNA". It matches the Rfam family "Bacterial small subunit ribosomal RNA", at positions 338 to 738 of the family's 1533-position model. The record is from RNAcentral.
CCUACGGGUGGCAGCAGUGGGGGAUAUUGCACAAUGGGGGGAACCCUGAUGCAGCGACGCCGCGUGGGUGAAGAAGCGCCUCGGCGCGUAAAGCCCUGUCAGCAGGGAAGAAAAUGACGGUACCUGAAGACUAAGCCCCGGCUAACUACGUGCCAGCAGCUGCGGUAAUACGUAGGGGGCAAGCGUUAUCCGGAUUUACUGGGUGUAAAGGGGGCGCAGACGGCGAUGCAAGCCAGGGGUGAAAGCCCGGGGCCCAACCCCGGGACUGCUCUUGGAACUGCGUGGCUGGGGUGCAGGAGGGCAGGGCGGAAUUCCUGGUGUAGCGGUGAAAGGCGUAGAAAUAAGGAGGAACCCAGGUGGCGAGGGCGGCCGGCGGGACUGGA